Molecule: small RNA, 355 nt
Filed under: Pongo abelii (Sumatran orangutan)
Lineage: Eukaryota; Metazoa; Chordata; Mammalia; Primates; Hominidae
Description: processed transcript
Source: RNAcentral
CUGAAGAUCCUCAUCAUCGGCGAGAGUGGAGUGGGCAAGUCCAGCCUGCUCUUGAGGUUCACAGAUGAUACGUUUGAUCCAGAACUUGCAGCAACAAUAGCAGUUGGGGAGGAGAUGACUGCAUUGUGAAAAACCUCCAGACUGCCUGUCUGCAUUGGCUGUUGAGAAGUAAAAUGCUAAACUGUCUCUUAGGUAAAUCUCUGAAUCACAAAAAAGUUGUCAGUCCAGAACUGGAGGCGCUCUGGCCUUCUGCAUGAACCUCCUACAAAUAUCAGGUUCUGGACAACCAGCACUUCUUCAGAGAUGAAUAAUCAAAAGGAAUUCAUUAAGCUUGACUGCCACAAAUGUUUGGAAA